Molecule: ribosomal RNA, 500 nt
Filed under: uncultured bacterium
Lineage: Bacteria
Description: partial 16S ribosomal RNA
Rfam family: Bacterial small subunit ribosomal RNA
Source: RNAcentral
AUUGAACGCUGGCGGCAUGCUUUACACAUGCAAGUCGAACGGUAACAGGGUGCUUGCACCGCUGACGAGUGGCGAACGGGUGAGUAAUGCGUCGGAACGUGCCGAGCAGUGGGGGAUAACGCAGCGAAAGUUGUGCUAAUACCGCAUACGUACUGAGGUAGGAAGUGGGGGACCUUCGGGCCUCACGCUAUUCGAGCGGCCGACGUCUGAUUAGCUAGUAGGUGAGGUAAAGGCUCACCUAGGCGACGAUCAGUAGCGGGUCUGAGAGGAUGAUCCGCCACACUGGGACUGAGAAACGGCCCAGACUCCUACGGGAGGCAGCAGUGGGGAAUUUUGGACAAUGGGCGAAAGCCUGAUCCAGCCAUGCCGCGUGUCUGAAGAAGGCCUUCGGGUUGUAAAGGACUUUUGUCAGGGAGGAAAUCCCUAGUGCUAAUAACACUGGGGGAUGACAGUACCUGAAGAAUAAGCACCGGCUAACUACGUGCCAGCAGCCGCGGUAA